GGAAGAGGCACAUGUGGGGACUCCCAGUGGACAGCAGCGAGGGAGACGUCAAGGAGGGCUUCAGAAUUGGAUGAAGAGGGGAUGGAGGUUGCUGUGUGUCGUCAUGGGUUUCUUUUGAAAGCCCUUAAUAUGUUCAGGGGAGAGAUAUUUGCCUUCCCUCUGUAUCUUCAGAAGGAGCUCAUGCCAGCCAAGGCAAAAUUCUUCACAAUGGAUGUGGCUUGCAAAUAUUGGCCAUAUUUGGAGAAAGCUGCUAGAGUCCUUCCUGCUCUUCAGGAGAUCACCGAAAUGAAACCAUUCCUCAGUGUAAUGCAUGCUUGAGCCCAUGCUACAAAGUGUGAGCUAACAGAUUAAAUGGAGUGGUAGGAACCAGGAAGGAACAGGAACAACAGCCGGUGAGGAGGUGGAUCAAGUGAACAGCUACCUCUCACUUUGUACCCCGACGACCAAAUACAUGUCAAAUGCAGCACGGGUGGACAUGCUUACCUUGCAUGCUAUGGGGUGGAACCACAAAAAAAGUCUCUCUAUACAUUAGGCACUUUCCACAAGAUAUGUGAAG
Molecule: long non-coding RNA, 556 nt
Organism: Cyprinus carpio (common carp)
Lineage: Eukaryota; Metazoa; Chordata; Actinopteri; Cypriniformes; Cyprinidae
Exons: 3
Source: RefSeq, a predicted model, not a curated record